Molecule: transfer-messenger RNA, 361 nt
Filed under: Paralysiella testudinis
Lineage: Bacteria; Pseudomonadati; Pseudomonadota; Betaproteobacteria; Neisseriales; Neisseriaceae
Description: Standard tmRNA
Rfam family: transfer-messenger RNA
About the family: Bacterial tmRNA, also known as 10Sa RNA or SsrA, is named for its dual tRNA and mRNA-like properties. Its role is to liberate the mRNA from a stalled ribosome.
Source: Rfam by way of RNAcentral
GGGGGCGAUUUUGGUUUCGACGGGGGUUGCGAAGCAGAUGCGGGCAUACCGGGAUUUCAGACUCCCGUAAAACACUGAACUUAAAUAUUCGCAAACGACGAAUCUUACGCAUUGGCCGCUUAAGGCCUGCCGUUGCAACAGUUGGCCUGUGGGCUGUGUAGGGUAAAACCUACGGCAACGUCUCUUACAUAGGCUGGUUUGCCGCCGGGUUACUUGGCGGUAAACAAGACUUAAGGUAACUGGUUUUCAGGCAGCCCGUCUGUCGGCGGCUUGGAAAUAAGAUUUAAUUGGCAAGACUAAGUAUGUAGAACGCUUUGUAGAGGACUUGCGGACGGGGGUUCGAUUCCCCCCGCCUCCACCA